AAGAUAUUCUAAACCUGGGAUAGACAUUUUUCUUAAAUCACUGGUGCAAUAUGGGUAUCAAAUUGAUUCCAAAGCCAGAGAUACAGCAACUAACAAAAGUGGGAUGCAUCUACUAACUGCUAUGACUCCUGCCAAACUGGGGAAAAGAGAGAUUGAUUCUGGAGAUCCCUGCCUUGGUUUGGAGGAGACUUUUCCCCUGGAUUCAACAUCAGCUUGCUGCAUUGGUGGAAUUCUGGCUGAAGACACAACUAGAACUUCUGGGUGAGGAUUACCAGGAAAUCCACAUGGGGACAAGGGACGUGGGAAGCCCCUGUGGGGCUGAGCCUCACU
This 330-nucleotide long non-coding RNA is filed under the name Monodelphis domestica (gray short-tailed opossum). RNAcentral's name for it is "lncRNA (ENSMODG00000047788.1)". Lineage: Eukaryota; Metazoa; Chordata; Mammalia; Didelphimorphia; Didelphidae. The record is from RNAcentral.